GGGGUUAUAGCUCAGUAGUAGAGUGCUUGCCUAGCAUGCUUAUGUACUGGGUUCAAUCCCCAGUACUCCCC
This 71-nucleotide transfer RNA is filed under the name Marmota marmota marmota (Alpine marmot). It matches the Rfam family "tRNA". Rfam says of the family: Transfer RNA (tRNA) molecules are approximately 80 nucleotides in length. RNAcentral also lists the same sequence under 2 other names. Lineage: Eukaryota; Metazoa; Chordata; Mammalia; Rodentia; Sciuridae. The record is from Rfam by way of RNAcentral.